UACGGAGGGUGCGAGCGUUGUCCGGAAUCACUGGGCGUAAAGGGCGCGUAGGCGGCCUGGCAAGUCGAUGGUGAAAGCCCGAGGCUCAACUUCGGGUCGGCCACUGAUACUGCUGGGCUUGAGUCGACUAGAGGCAGAUGGAAUUCCGGGUGUAGCGGUGGAAUGCGUAGAGAUCCGGAAGAACACCGGUGGCGAAGGCGGUCUGCUGGGGUCGAACUGACGCUGAGGCGCGACAGCGUGGGGAGCAAACAGG
RNAcentral lists this ribosomal RNA (253 nucleotides) under uncultured bacterium. RNAcentral describes it as "partial 16S ribosomal RNA". It matches the Rfam family "Bacterial small subunit ribosomal RNA", at positions 524 to 776 of the family's 1533-position model. The record is from RNAcentral.